GAAUGGCUGAAUGCUGUGUACUUCCGUCAGUCAUCCACACAGCCAGAUGCCAUGCAAAGCAGUCUUCCUUUAAGGGGACUGGGACACUGGUUUCUAUGGUUUAUCACUACUAAGUACAAAC
Small nucleolar RNA from Mus caroli (Ryukyu mouse), 121 nucleotides. RefSeq annotates it as small nucleolar RNA SNORA15. The record is from RefSeq and is a predicted model, not a curated record. NCBI's taxonomy places the organism in Eukaryota, Metazoa, Chordata, Mammalia, Rodentia, Muridae.